Alnus glutinosa is the source of this 467-nucleotide long non-coding RNA. RefSeq lists it as uncharacterized. The record is from RefSeq and is a predicted model, not a curated record. NCBI's taxonomy places the organism in Eukaryota, Viridiplantae, Streptophyta, Magnoliopsida, Fagales, Betulaceae. The transcript is spliced from 2 exons.
GAAUUAGUAUAAAUAUGGGAUGUUAAGUACUCUUCAAAACUUACAGGGAAAGUACUUAAUAUGGCUAGCAGCAAAGUUAGUGUUGUGGUUCUCCUCCUAGUGUGUGGUGUAACUCUGCUGGGAGUAUUCAAUCCGAAGAAUGUGGUUGCGAGCCAGGCUUGCCCAGAGAGUUGCUUGUGCGUGUCGUACAUGACUUGCGGCAAUUCAGACCAGAAACUUGAUAAUGGCUGCAACUGCUGCUUAGCGCCAAAGGGCUGCACUCUUCACCUCUGCAGCAAUACUACACUUCUCUGUGAUGGGAAUUGAAGGGUGGAUAUCUAUCCCCACCCCCGUGUGUUUUUUAAUAUUCCCUUUAAUUGGAAAUAAUAUGAAAUAAAUAUUAAUAAUCAUAAUGUUAAUAAAAAUAAAACUAAAGAGACUUUCUUUGUCUCUCUAUUAAUGUUAUGUGCAAUUGAACGUGUUUUUAA